UGACAGUUAGUCAAGAAGGCCGUAAGGGU
RNAcentral lists this small RNA (29 nucleotides) under Bombyx mori (domestic silkworm). RNAcentral's name for it is "ovarian small RNA-31427". The record is from RNAcentral. Lineage: Eukaryota; Metazoa; Arthropoda; Insecta; Lepidoptera; Bombycidae.